GGGGAUUUGGCUCAGUGGUAGAGUGCUUGCCUAGGAAGCGCAAGGUUCUGGGUUCGGUCCCCAGCCCCG
Molecule: transfer RNA, 69 nt
Filed under: Rattus norvegicus (Norway rat)
Lineage: Eukaryota; Metazoa; Chordata; Mammalia; Rodentia; Muridae
Rfam family: tRNA
About the family: Transfer RNA (tRNA) molecules are approximately 80 nucleotides in length. Their secondary structure includes four short double-helical elements and three loops (D, anti-codon, and T loops).
Source: Rfam by way of RNAcentral